AGAAAAGAGUUGUGGUGCAAAAAGAUUCUGUAGCAUGCACAUGGCUGAAGAGGAGUCUAUGGCACAGCAGAUAAUUUACCACAGCACUCUGCAACAUCUCCCCCCCUCCAUGUCCUGUCCCCCUCAGCUUUUCAGUUUCUAAUAUCCUUUUUAAAAAAAAUUGUUUUCUCGAGGGAGCACUGGCGCAUGACCCUCCAGAGCUGCAAGGUUAGAGCUUCCUUCUUGUAAAGCUGAUGGCAGAGCAGUUGUCAUGAACUGUGAUACAUGCAGUUGGGAAGGCAUUUUGUGGCAUCACAAAGCAAAGCCAUGCCAUGCCAGCUCUGACUUCAGGCUGGAGAAGACCACCCUGCAGUUCUCACUGUUGGAGACAAAGAGGUCCAUUCUGGAUCCCACUGGUGCCUCUUGAAGAGAUGUCCAGCUACCUCAGAACUUCACUGAGUGGCACCACCAUCUGCUGAAGCACUCUCAGAAGCAUCAUGCACCCAGAUUCAGCUCAUUUAUGGCUGGCACUGCUUGAGUUCAGUUGGUCUCCUCUGCCUUCAUUGCCCAAAUGUAAAUGGUUGCAGAAAUUUCCAGAUGAAAGUUUAUGACAUAAAUGAAUUCUUAGUGAUUGAUUUUUGUUUUCCUCUGUGAAGUCCACACAAUGGGAGACGGCUGCUUAUCACUGAGUAAGAUCAUUGAAUGAUUUAAUGGGGGGUUAAAUGAAAAGUAAGAGUUUUCAUACUGGUGUGAUGUAAAUCCUGCGUCCAAUUAAAGCCUCAAAGCAUUUUUUAAAAGCUGUAUAAAAGGUGAAUCAUUUCUGUAAACAGCCCUUAAAGUGAAAACCCAACACCUUUGCUGUGGGAGAAGUAAUACGCUCUCAAAUACCUCAGCAAACAAAGAGUCCCUCGCCUUCUGCGAGCUUCUCUCCUUUUUUUUUUUUUUCAGCAGCUCAGCAUGGGGUGCCAGAAAAAUCAUUAACGGGCCCAUCUUGCACUUCUGGCUUUUCCACACCUGCGGGUCCCCAUCUCUGCCGUAGCUUUAUGGACCGUGAGGAGGCAGGUUUGACGCCAGGAAAGACAGGCUCAGCCAACAGCUGCAGGAGGGGCAGAGGGCCAGACAGUAAAAUGUAAAGAGGAGGAAGGAGAGGGAGCACCUUUGAAGUUUACCAAAAAAACAAAAGCAUGACUUUGACCACUUCCUUUUUUAAUUAGCUGUCUCAGGUACAUUGAGCCACCAGUUUGAAUGGAUACUGGUAGGGGGUUGUUGGAAAUGUCGAAGGCAAUACUGUAAGGGCUUCAGCACAA
Melospiza melodia melodia is the source of this 1286-nucleotide long non-coding RNA. RefSeq lists it as uncharacterized. The transcript has 3 exons. Lineage: Eukaryota; Metazoa; Chordata; Aves; Passeriformes; Passerellidae. The record is from RefSeq and is a predicted model, not a curated record.